This 90-nucleotide small nuclear RNA is filed under the name Nannospalax galili (Upper Galilee mountains blind mole rat). The record is from RNAcentral. Lineage: Eukaryota; Metazoa; Chordata; Mammalia; Rodentia; Spalacidae.
NNNUACAAAAAUUGGAAUGAUACAGAGAUCCCAUUAGCAUGGCCCCUGCGCAAGGAUGACACGCAAAUUCGUGAAGUGUUCCAUAUUUUC